GAUGAACGCUGGCGGCGUGCCUAAUACAUGCAAGUCGAGCGAACGGACGAGAAGCUUGCUUUUCUGAUGUUAGCGGCGGACGGGUGAGUAACACGUGGAUAACCUACCUAUAAGACUGGGAUAACUUCGGGAAACCGGAGCUAAUACCGGAUAAUAUUUUGAACCGCAUGGUUCAAAAGUGAAAGACGGUCUUGCUGUCACUUAUAGAUGGAUCCGCGCUGCAUUAGCUAGUUGGUAAGGUAACGGCUUACCAAGGCAACGAUGCAUAGCCGACCUGAGAGGGUGAUCGGCCACACUGGAACUGAGACACGGUCCAGACUCCUACGGGAGGCAGCAGUAGGGAAUCUUCCGCAAUGGGCGAAAGCCUGACGGAGCAACGCCGCGUGAGUGAUGAAGGUCUUCGGAUCGUAAAACUCUGUUAUUAGGGAAGAACAUAUGUGUAAGUAACUGUGCACAUCUUGACGGUACCUAAUCAGAAAGCCACGGCUAACUACGUGCCAGCAGCCGCGGUAAUACGUAGGUGGCAAGCGUUAUCCGGAAUUAUUGGGCGUAAAGCGCGCGUAGGCGGUUUUUUAAGUCUGAUGUGAAAGCCCACGGCUCAACCGUGGAGGGUCAUUGGAAACUGGAAAACUUGAGUGCAGAAGAGGAAAGUGGAAUUCCAUGUGUAGCGGUGAAAUGCGCAGAGAUAUGGAGGAACACCAGUGGCGAAGGCGACUUUCUGGUCUGUAACUGACGCUGAUGUGCGAAAGCGUGGGGAUCAAACAGGAUUAGAUACCCUGGUAGUCCACGCCGUAAACGAUGAGUGCUAAGUGUUAGGGGGUUUCCGCCCCUUAGUGCUGCAGCUAACGCAUUAAGCACUCCGCCUGGGGAGUACGACCGCAAGGUUGAAACUCAAAGGAAUUGACGGGGACCCGCACAAGCGGUGGAGCAUGUGGUUUAAUUCGAAGCAACGCGAAGAACCUUACCAAAUCUUGACAUCCUUUGACGACUCUAGAGAUAGAGCCUUCCCCUUCGGGGGACAAAGUGACAGGUGGUGCAUGGUUGUCGUCAGCUCGUGUCGUGCGAUGUUGGGUUAAGUCCCGCAACGAGCGCAACCCUUAAGCUUAGUUGCCAUCAUUAAGUUGGGCACUCUAAGUUGACUGCCGGUGACAAACCGGAGGAAGGUGGGGAUGACGUCAAAUCAUCAUGCCCCUUAUGAUUUGGGCUACACACGUGCUACAAUGGACAAUACAAAGGGCAGCGAAACCGCGAGGUCAAGCAAAUCCCAUAAAGUUGUUCUCAGUUCGGAUUGUAGUCUGCAACUCGACUACAUGAAGCUGGAAUCGCUAGUAAUCGUAGAUCAGCAUGCUACGGUGAAUACGUUCCCGGGUCU
RNAcentral lists this ribosomal RNA (1372 nucleotides) under uncultured bacterium. RNAcentral describes it as "bacterial SSU rRNA". It matches the Rfam family "Bacterial small subunit ribosomal RNA", at positions 28 to 1381 of the family's 1533-position model. The record is from RNAcentral.